Molecule: ribosomal RNA, 460 nt
Filed under: uncultured bacterium
Lineage: Bacteria
Description: partial 16S ribosomal RNA
Rfam family: Bacterial small subunit ribosomal RNA
Source: RNAcentral
CCUACGGGUGGCAGCAGUGAGGAAUAUUGGACAAUGGGCGAGAGCCUGAACCAGCCAAGUCGCGUGAAGGAUGACGGCCCUACGGGUUGUAAACUUCUUUUGCCAGGGAGCAAUUGGAUCCACCCGUUGGCUUAGCGAGAGUACCUGAAGAAAACGCAUCGGCUAACUCCGUGCCGGCAGCCGCGGUCAGACGGAGGAUGCGAGCGUUAUCCGGAUUUAUUGGGUUAAAAGGUUGCGUAGGCGGAAUAUCACGUCAGCGGUAAAAGUUCGGGGCUAAACCCCGUCCGGCCGUUGAAACUGGGUGCCUUGAGUGGGCGAGAAGAAGGCGGAAUGCGUGGUGUAGCGGUGAAAUGCAUAGAUAUCACGCAGAACCCCGAUUGCGAAGGCAGCCUUCCGGCGCCCUACUGACGCUGAGGCACGAAAGUGCGGGGAUCGAACAGGAUUAGAUACCCCAGUAGUC